UGGGACGUCUCAAAUGUUCCUGUCAGUGC
RNAcentral lists this non-coding RNA (29 nucleotides) under Mus musculus (house mouse). The record is from RNAcentral. Lineage: Eukaryota; Metazoa; Chordata; Mammalia; Rodentia; Muridae.